UUUUAGCCCUGAUAGUAGCGGCAUCCUUUACCUUCUUUCUUUAAGAAGGUAAAGAUACAGCGGAUAGCAGGAUAAGCU
This 78-nucleotide small RNA is filed under the name Flavobacterium sp. 123. RNAcentral describes it as "Flavo-1 RNA". It matches the Rfam family "Flavo-1 RNA". The record is from Rfam by way of RNAcentral. Lineage: Bacteria; Pseudomonadati; Bacteroidota; Flavobacteriia; Flavobacteriales; Flavobacteriaceae.